Uranotaenia lowii is the source of this 2051-nucleotide long non-coding RNA. RefSeq lists it as uncharacterized. The record is from RefSeq and is a predicted model, not a curated record. The transcript has 3 exons. Lineage: Eukaryota; Metazoa; Arthropoda; Insecta; Diptera; Culicidae.
CGCAGCGCUGCCAAUGGACCGGAAACGGUUCGUCCGCUUCCAUAAUGACGAAUCCCUCGAUCACGUGUGUCAGCACGUUCGGCUUGAUCAUCGCCUUCGGCAGUCCACCCUUGUCGGUUCCGGUUUUCCCUUGCGGGGGCGGAAGUCCUCCUGGGGUGCUGGCCACCGUCGUGGUUGUCGUCGUCGAGGGGGGUGGUGGUAAUCCAUUGGGGACCGAAGAGGUGAGGGAUGUUACCGAUGAGUUAUUGGCGUUGUUACUGGUGGCUGUUGUGAUUGUGGUGGCCGCCGGAGAACUGCAUUGGAUGCUAGUUGGUAGGGAUGAUGGUGUGGUAUUGGGGGACGUCGUUGUCGUCGUUAGCGACGCGUUGGUGGAGGUUGUCGUCGUUAUCUGAGCCGUCGUUGUUGUGGUGGUGAGGGGUGGCGUCGUAGUUGUCGUGCUGACGGCACCGGCUGAUGAAUCUUCCGAGGAUAUCGGAUGGGAGGCUGCUGUUGCUGCAGGUGUCGCUGCUUGUUGACUACUGGCUGUAGUUGGUGUCGUCGCCGAUGAGGCCGGGAUCGUUGAAGAAGCCUGUUGAGACGAUGGGGAACUGGACGAAGUGUCCAUCGGCGUUGGUCCGUUUAAUUGCGCAUCAGUUGCACUAUCGGCCGAAGCUGGGGCUGCAGACAAAUCUGAAAAAAUGAGGAAACAAAACAUUAGAACUAAUCACAUUUUCAUCUACUUCAAUCAGAACACAAAGCCUACUCUAAGCGCAGAGCUGAAUCAACUUCGAACGUCAUUGCCAAACUGUCAGUGAGAGUGAUUGAUCUCAAACUCAAAAAAAAAUUAGCGUCGGUCCAAAACGAAACGAACACGCUCGAUUUUCAUCGCGAGUCGCGCCUCAGUUGCGCGUCCAAGCUUCUAAGCAGCAAGUGCGCCAAGUGAGAGCUCCGCUUCCAGUUCCAAAAAUUACGGGAAAAGCUCUGCCGGUUCAUCGUCGAAGUCACAGAACAAAAAUAAAAUCAUCGUAACCAGUCCCCGCACUACUCGGAAGGUGUAAAUAUUGCUAUGAAGAAGCCUAGAAUGACGCUCCCGGUAGUUGUUCCGGCAAAAGAGAGUCGAGAAUAUUCAUCCGGAUGUGAUAUCUUUUCAUUCGUACAUAAUGAAACCCCGAAUGACAGCGGAGAAAGCCCGGAUGAAAAAGCUACAUCCGGUUUAUCAUUGGCGAAAACAAUCGACUUUCUAGGAUCGAAGCAUUUCCAGACUUGCCUUCACAUUUGAUCGGUUGGGAACAAAAGAGUCCGAUUUUUAAGGCGAGUUUUUUUUGUUAAUCAGAGCCUCUGGCAGAUCCAGUAACCUGUGAGAUGCUUGUUUUCAUCGAGAAUGCUGCAGUGGGAAACGGUGAGGCGUUAGAUAAGCCAGCAAUUGGGUUAAACGCUGUGCUAGCAGAGCUCAUGUGGUUCAGGCCAAGUCAAGUGGACAGUCUCAGAUGGAGAUUGGAUUAAAGACGUUCCCGAGAAAAUGGUCGAAAACCAUCAACGCGAAACUUUGAACGUUCCUGUAGGUGUGGUAUGAAGGAAAAUCACAGAUUAAAAUCACCAAGCAUGACGAGCUAUGUGCAAUUUCCCCAUCAGCCCAACCCCCAAAAACCCCUAACCCAUCUCCACCCCAACCCCCCUGUACCCCCCCUUCUCUUCCCCCCAGAAAGUUGCGUCUGCAGCAAAACUAGAGCAACAUUUAUUGAUCGGUCAGGUUACGCAGCAAAUCAUUGGAAACCUUUAUUGAAAUGUUCAGUUUUCUGGGGAUUCGUUAACGUUCAAAACUGCUAGUGUUAGGUGCUGAAAAGAAAGUCAAAUUGUAAAACAGAUUCUAGAACAAAGAAAAUUGUGAAAAAAAUGAUUCAGCCCAAAGACAGCAAAUCAAUUAUCCAGUUUCGACAACAACCAAUUCAGUUAUCUUAGUUCCAAGCUUCAGUUCGUUCGUCACUGAAAGGAAGCAAUUAUGUAUUAGGAAAAUCAAUUAUUGUGGUCGCCCCAGAUCAAUUGAUAUGUAGAAACUAUCAGGAACAAUAAGU